AACGAACGCUGGCGGCAGGCUUAACACAUGCAAGUCGAGCGCCCCGCAAGGGGAGCGGCAGACGGGUGAGUAACGCGUGGGAACGUGCCCUUUGGUUGGAACAACUCCGGGAAACUGGAGCUGAUACCGGAUAAGCCCUUCGGGGGAAAGAUUUAUCGCCAAAGGAUCGGCCCGCGUCUGAUUAGCUAGUUGGUGAGGUAAUGGCUCACCAAGGCGACGAUCAGUAGCUGGUCUGAGAGGAUGAUCAGCCACACUGGGACUGAGACACGGCCCAGACUCCUACGGGAGGCAGCAGUGGGGAAUAUUGGACAAUGGGCGCAAGCCUGAUCCAGCCAUGCCGCGUGAGUGAUGAAGGCCUUAGGGUUGUAAAGCUCUUUUGUCCGGGAAGAUAAUGACUGUACCGGAAGAAUAAGCCCCGGCUAACUUCGUGCCAGCCGCCGCCGUAA
This 446-nucleotide ribosomal RNA is filed under the name uncultured bacterium. RNAcentral's name for it is "partial 16S ribosomal RNA". It matches the Rfam family "Bacterial small subunit ribosomal RNA", at positions 29 to 523 of the family's 1533-position model. The record is from RNAcentral.